This 809-nucleotide ribosomal RNA is filed under the name uncultured bacterium. Its description in RNAcentral is "bacterial SSU rRNA". It matches the Rfam family "Bacterial small subunit ribosomal RNA", at positions 58 to 894 of the family's 1533-position model. The record is from RNAcentral.
CAAGUCGUACGGACGUAGCAAUACGUCAGUGGCGGACGGGUGAGUAAUGAAUCGCUAAUGUACCCCGGAAUCUGGGAUAGCUGCCCGAAAGGGCAGGUAAUACCAGAUGAUAUAACCUUGUCGCAUGGCGAGGUUCUCAAAGGGAAACCGCUCUGGGAGCAGGCGAUUUCGUAUCAGCUAGUUGGUGAGGUAACGGCUCACCAAGGCGACGACGCGCAGCCGGACUGAGAGGUUGGCCGGCCACAUUGGGACUGAGACACUGCCCAGACUCCUACGGGGGGCUGCAGUAACGAAUCUCCCGCAAUGCUCGCAAGUGUGACGGAGCGACGCCGCGUGUAGGAUGAAGUCCUUCGGGAUGUAAACUACUGUCAGGGGAAAGAAAGUUCUGAUCUACCCCAGAGGAAGAGACGGCUAACUCUGUGCCAGCAGCCGCGGUAAUACAGAGGUCUCGAGCGUUAGGCGGAAUCACUGGGCUUAAAGCGUGUGUAGGCGGAUCGUUAAGUGCCUUGUGAAAUCCCACGGCUCAACCGUGGAACUGCUUGGCAUACUGGCGGUCUUGAGCAACCUAGGGGCGAGCGGAACAAUGGUGGAGCGGUGAAAUGCGUAGAUAUCAUUUGGAACGCCAAUGGUGAAAACAGCUCGCUGGGGGUUUGCUGACGCUGAGACACGAAAGCCAGGGGAGCAAACGGGAUUAGAUACCCCGGUAGUCCUGGCCCUAAACGAUGUCCACUAGAUCGUAGCGCCUCUGACGGUGUUAUGGUCGAAGCAAAAGUGCUAAGUGGACCGCCUGGGAAGUACGGUCGCAAGGC